CCUACGGGGGGCAGCAGUGGGGAAUAUUGCACAAUGGGCGCAAGCCUGAUGCAGCCAUGCCGCGUGUAUGAAGAAGGCCUUCGGGUUGUAAAGUACUUUCAGCGGGGAUGAAGGUGUUGAGGUUAAUAACCUCAGCAAUUGACGUUACCCGCAGAAGAAGCACCGGCUAACUCCGUGCCAGCAGCCGCGGUAAUACGGAGGGUGCAAGCGUUAAUCGGAAUUACUGGGCGUAAAGCGCACGCAGGCGGUCUGUCAAGUCGGACGUGAAAUCCCCGGGCUCAACCUGGGAACUGCAUUCGAAACUGGCAGGCUAGAGUCUUGUAGAGGGGGGUAGAAUUCCAGGUGUAGCGGUGAAAUGCGUAGAGAUCUGGAGGAAUACCGGUGGCGAAGGCGGCCCACUGGACAAAGACUGACGCUCAGGUGCGAAAGCAUGGGGAGCAAACAGGAUUAGAUACCCCAGUAGUC
This 465-nucleotide ribosomal RNA is filed under the name uncultured bacterium. RNAcentral describes it as "bacterial SSU rRNA". It matches the Rfam family "Bacterial small subunit ribosomal RNA", at positions 338 to 795 of the family's 1533-position model. The record is from RNAcentral.